UUUUAAUGGUCAUGUUACUAAUGGCGUGCCAUGGUGAAUGAAGUGUAACGCAGGAAUAGCAAAGAAGUCUCACCGCGGGUCGUAUGAUCAGAUGGAAAGCCGGAAUGUAGUACGAGAUACGAAGGAUCUUCAAGGGAUAGAGAUCAAGGACCGAGUCACAAGACAGAUUGUACGGGAACGUUGGUGUUGAAAUUUAGAAAACCCAUGUCAUGUAUUUAAUUGUAAAUGAGUCGGUUGAUGACUUCAUGUGAAAAAGUUGUGUUAAAAUGAAAUUUUAAAUAA
Molecule: long non-coding RNA, 282 nt
Organism: Helianthus annuus (common sunflower)
Lineage: Eukaryota; Viridiplantae; Streptophyta; Magnoliopsida; Asterales; Asteraceae
Exons: 2
Source: RefSeq, a predicted model, not a curated record